GAUGAACGCUGGCGGCGUGCCUAAUACAUGCAAGUAGAACGCUGAAGGAAGGAGCUUGCUCUUUCCGGAUGAGUUGCGAACGGGUGAGUAACGCGUAGGUAACCUGCCUGGUAGCGGGGGAUAACUAUUGGAAACGAUAGCUAAUACCGCAUAACAGUAGAUGUUGCAUGAUAUCUACUUAAAAGGUGCAAUUGCACCACUACCAGAUGGACCUGCGUUGUAUUAGCUAGUUGGUGAGGUAACGGCUCACCAAGGCGACGAUACAUAGCCGACCUGAGAGGGUGAUCGGCCACACUGGGACUGAGACACGGCCCAGACUCCUACGGGAGGCAGCAGUAGGGAAUCUUCGGCAAUGGACGGAAGUCUGACCGAGCAACGCCGCGUGAGUGAAGAAAGUUUUCGGAUCGUAAAGCUCUGUUGUAAGAGAAGAACGAGUGUGAGAGUGGAAAGUUCACACUGUGACGGUAUCUUACCAGAAAGGGACGGCUAACUACGUG
This 497-nucleotide ribosomal RNA is filed under the name uncultured bacterium. RNAcentral's name for it is "partial 16S ribosomal RNA". It matches the Rfam family "Bacterial small subunit ribosomal RNA", at positions 28 to 507 of the family's 1533-position model. The record is from RNAcentral.